GUGGUGGCUCAAUGGUAGAGCGCUCGCCUAGCAUGUGUGAAGCCCUGGGUUCAAGCCUCAGCACCACA
This 68-nucleotide transfer RNA is filed under the name Marmota monax (woodchuck). It matches the Rfam family "tRNA". Rfam says of the family: Transfer RNA (tRNA) molecules are approximately 80 nucleotides in length. Lineage: Eukaryota; Metazoa; Chordata; Mammalia; Rodentia; Sciuridae. The record is from Rfam by way of RNAcentral.